Molecule: ribosomal RNA, 747 nt
Filed under: uncultured bacterium
Lineage: Bacteria
Description: bacterial SSU rRNA
Rfam family: Bacterial small subunit ribosomal RNA
Source: RNAcentral
AGCGAAGCACCUUGACGGAUUUCUUCGGAUUGAAGCCUUGGUGACUGAGCGGCGGACGGGUGAGUAACGCGUGGGUAACCUGCCUCAUACAGGGGGAUAACAGUUGGAAACGGCUGCUAAUACCGCAUAAGCGCACAGUACCGCAUGGUACGGUGUGAAAAACUCCGGUGGUAUGAGAUGGACCCGCGCCUGAUUAGGUAGUUGGUGGGGUAACGGCCUACCAAGCCGACGAUCAGUAGCCGACCUGAGAGGGUGACCGGCCACAUUGGGACUGAGACACGGCCCAAACUCCUACGGGAGGCAGCAGUGGGGAAUAUUGCACAAUGGGGGAAACCCUGAUGCAGCGACGCCGCGUGAGCGAUGAAGUAUUUCGGUAUGUAAAGCUCUAUCAGCAGGGAAGAAAAUGACGGUACCUGACUAAGAAGCCCCGGCUAACUACGUGCCAGCAGCCGCGGUAAUACGUAGGGGGCAAGCGUUAUCCGGAUUUACUGGGUGUAAAGGGAGCGUAGACGGCAUGGCAAGCCAGAUGUGAAAGCCCGGGGCUCAACCCCGGGACUGCAUUUGGAACUGUCAGGCUAGAGUGUCGGAGAGGAAAGCGGAAUUCCUAGUGUAGCGGUGAAAUGCGUAGAUAUUAGGAGGAACACCAGUGGCGAAGGCGGCUUUCUGGACGAUGACUGACGUUGAGGCUCGAAAGCGUGGGGAGCAAACAGGAUUAGAUACCCUGGUAGUCCACGCCGUAAACGAUGA